UACAGAGGAUGCAAGCGUUAUCCGGAAUGAUUGGGCGUAAAGCGUCUGUAGGUGGCUUUUUAAGUCCGCCGUCAAAUCCCAGGGCUCAACUCUGGACAGGCGGUGGAAACUACCAAGCUGGAGUACGGUAGGGGCAGAGGGAAUUUCCGGUGGAGCGGUGAAAUGCGUAGAGAUCGGGAGGAACACCAGUGGCGAAGGCGGCCUUCUGGACCAAUACUGACGCUCAUGCACGGAAGCGUGGGGAGCAAACAGG
Molecule: ribosomal RNA, 253 nt
Filed under: uncultured bacterium
Lineage: Bacteria
Description: partial 16S ribosomal RNA
Rfam family: Bacterial small subunit ribosomal RNA
Source: RNAcentral